Molecule: long non-coding RNA, 315 nt
Filed under: Mytilus galloprovincialis (Mediterranean mussel)
Lineage: Eukaryota; Metazoa; Mollusca; Bivalvia; Mytilida; Mytilidae
Source: RNAcentral
CCGUAAAUUAUUAAUUUUGACUUCUGUUUCAAAAUUCAUGUGUAGAAGAUUAUCUGGUACUGUACCAUGUAAAAUGAAUUUUUUUUCAAAUUUCAAUUUUACUUUUCGGGGGCAGAUCCAGCCAUAUUAAAAAAAGGGGGUUCAAACUAUAUGUCCCACUUCAAAUGCAUUGAUCGGCAAAAAAAAAAAACGGGGUUCCAACACCCAUAACCACUCCCCCUGGAUCCGCCAAUGCUUUUGUAUACACAAUAGCUUACAUAAUGUUUUGUCAGCUUGUUUUAUUUGCUUAGCAAAUGUUUAAUUUACGUUAUGCGG